CAAAGCCAGCGGCGCCCAGCGAGCCAUCGCGCUCCAGGUCCAGGAGGAACCUCCGGCCGCCCGCGUAGACGAGGAGGCGAGACUUUCUCUGCCGGCCAGUGGGAAGUUGCAGUUGAAAUUUAUCCUGGUGAUCACCUAAGGCCGCUUCCUCCGGGUACCAGAGAGGAGCUGAGAGCAGAGACCAGAGCGAUUGCCUGCGGUUAACAAGUCCACCGGUGGUCAGCUCUCCUGAAUCCUGAAAACUUGACUCCUUCAGUCGGUGCUCAAUCGACAGACAGCACCUCUUAAAAUCUAUCCAGUUUCGCAAAUGUCUGUCGAGGGCUGGCUACCAAGUGCUGUGUGAAGUUCUCCGGAGACACAUAAACAUGAAUAAGCCAUGAUUGACAUUCAGAGAGGCUCACGGUUCACAGAGGAGCCAAUUGUACCAGGAGCUGCUUGGACUACAGGCUGGAAAAUGCAAAUAUGGAGGGAAAAAGGCAAGAGAGUAACUAACCCCUGCGGGCGCUCUGAGCUAUGUAUUUCCAGGACAGCUUCACUCCAUAGGACUUGUGUAUCCUUCGAAGUUUGCUGCAAUCCUGGUAAAGCUAUUGUCUCUGCUAUGUGCCUAGGACAUAUUACAGAACAUUCUAUCUGUUGUGAUGGAUAACAUCAUACACUUCAGAAUCAGUUUGCUGAAAAUAAAAAAAUCAUUUUGGAAACAUGAAAUGAGACUGCCUGAAUGACGAUUUGAUUCUACAUCGCAGGAAGAACCCUACCUGUCAAUCACCA
This is a long non-coding RNA of Lynx canadensis (Canada lynx), 768 nucleotides long. RefSeq lists it as uncharacterized. The record is from RefSeq and is a predicted model, not a curated record. The transcript has 4 exons. NCBI's taxonomy places the organism in Eukaryota, Metazoa, Chordata, Mammalia, Carnivora, Felidae.